UACGAAGGGGGCUAGCGUUGUUCGGAAUUACUGGGCGUAAGGGCGCGUAGGCGGUGUGUCAAGUCAGGCGUGAAAGCCCCGGGCUCAACCUGGGAACAGCGCUUGAGACUGGCACGCUCGAGUUCGGGAGAGGAUGGUGGAAUUCCCAGUGUAGAGGUGAAAUUCGUAGAUAUUGGGAAGAACACCGAUGGCGAAGGCAGCCAUCUGGACCGUAGCUGACGCUGAGACACGAAAGCGUGGGUAGCAAACAGG
This 252-nucleotide ribosomal RNA is filed under the name uncultured bacterium. Its description in RNAcentral is "partial 16S ribosomal RNA". It matches the Rfam family "Bacterial small subunit ribosomal RNA", at positions 524 to 776 of the family's 1533-position model. The record is from RNAcentral.